Long non-coding RNA from Cebus imitator (Panamanian white-faced capuchin), 413 nucleotides. RefSeq lists it as uncharacterized. The record is from RefSeq and is a predicted model, not a curated record. The transcript has 4 exons. Lineage: Eukaryota; Metazoa; Chordata; Mammalia; Primates; Cebidae.
GGUGAAACCCCAUCUCUACUAAAAAUACAAAAAUUGACCAGGAAAAAAUGGCAACCCAUUCCCAACUUGAAGAUUUCUCAUUGUUUUUACCAAACUUAAAGAAUCAGCAGCCGAGAGAGAAGUGCCUCAAAUUGUGUAUGGGCUGUUACCUUUCCAAAGAGAAGACUUAUGCUCUGAGAGAAGAUUUUCUAGCAGUGGAAAUGGAUUCACCUCUGGUGCUGUUUCAAGUUUCUGAACUUAUCAAACAGGCUGGUGCACAAGUGCCCUUGGCCUCGCCUUCAUAGCUCUGGCUGGGCCACAGGAAAGUCUUAAAACACCGAGGUUGGGGGGCUUCAGAAGAUGCUUGUUGACUUACUGGACAAAGAAGACAGUGAAGAUUUUAUAUGUAAUCUCUAAGACUCAUCUGUCUUACA